Molecule: ribosomal RNA, 1041 nt
Filed under: Bacillus subtilis
Lineage: Bacteria; Bacillati; Bacillota; Bacilli; Caryophanales; Bacillaceae
Description: bacterial SSU rRNA
Rfam family: Bacterial small subunit ribosomal RNA
Source: RNAcentral
GCGGUGCUAUACAUGCAGUCGAGCGGACAGAUGGGAGCUUGCUCCCUGAUGUUAGCGGCGGACGGGUGAGUAACACGUGGGUAACCUGCCUGUAAGACUGGGAUAACUCCGGGAAACCGGGGCUAAUACCGGAUGCUUGUUUGAACCGCAUGGUUCAAACAUAAAAGGUGGCUUCGGCUACCACUUACAGAUGGACCCGCGGCGCAUUAGCUAGUUGGUGAGGUAACGGCUCACCAAGGCGACGAUGCGUAGCCGACCUGAGAGGGUGAUCGGCCACACUGGGACUGAGACACGGCCCAGACUCCUACGGGAGGCAGCAGUAGGGAAUCUUCCGCAAUGGACGAAAGUCUGACGGAGCAACGCCGCGUGAGUGAUGAAGGUUUUCGGAUCGUAAAGCUCUGUUGUUAGGGAAGAACAAGUGCCGUUCAAAUAGGGCGGCACCUUGACGGUACCUAACCAGAAAGCCACGGCUAACUACGUGCCAGCAGCCGCGGUAAUACGUAGGUGGCAAGCGUUGUCCGGAAUUAUUGGGCGUAAAGGGCUCGCAGGCGGUUUCUUAAGUCUGAUGUGAAAGCCCCCGGCUCAACCGGGGAGGGUCAUUGGAAACUGGGGAACUUGAGUGCAGAAGAGGAGAGUGGAAUUCCACGUGUAGCGGUGAAAUGCGUAGAGAUGUGGAGGAACACCAGUGGCGAAGGCGACUCUCUGGUCUGUAACUGACGCUGAGGAGCGAAAGCGUGGGGAGCGAACAGGAUUAGAUACCCUGGUAGUCCACGCCGUAAACGAUGAGUGCUAAGUGUUAGGGGGUUUCCGCCCCUUAGUGCUGCAGCUAACGCAUUAAGCACUCCGCCUGGGGAGUACGGUCGCAAGACUGAAACUCAAAGGAAUUGACGGGGGCCCGCACAAGCGGUGGAGCAUGUGGUUUAAUUCGAAGCAACGCGAAAAACCUUACCAGGUCUUGACAUCCUCUGACAAUCCUAAAAAUAGGACGUCCCCUUCGGGGGCAGAAUGACAAGUGGUGCAUGGUUGUCGUCACCCCGGGCC